This 574-nucleotide ribosomal RNA is filed under the name uncultured bacterium. Its description in RNAcentral is "bacterial SSU rRNA". It matches the Rfam family "Bacterial small subunit ribosomal RNA", at positions 28 to 596 of the family's 1533-position model. The record is from RNAcentral.
AUUGAACGCUGGCGGCAUGCCUUACACAUGCAAGUCGAACGGUAACGCGGGGCAACCUGGCGACGAGUGGCGAACGGGUGAGUAAUGUAUCGGAACGUGCCCAGUUGUGGGGAUAACUGCUCGAAAGAGCAGCUAAUACCGCAUACGACCUGAGGGUGAAAGCGGGGGAUCGCAAGACCUCGCGCAAUUGGAGCGGCCGAUAUCAGAUUAGGUAGUUGGUGGGGUAAAGACCCACCAAGCCAACGAUCUGUAGCUGGUCUGAGAGGACGACCAGCCACACUGGGACUGAGACACGGCCCCAGACUCCUACGGGAGGCAGCAGUGGGGAAUUUUGGACAAUGGACGCAAGUCUGAUCCAGCCAUGCCGCGUGCGGGAAGAAGGCCCUUCGGGUUGUAAAACCGCUUUUUGUCAGGGAAGAAACGCUCUGGGUUAAUACCUCGGGGUAAUGACGGUACCUGAAGAAUAAGCACCGGCUAACUACGUGCCAGCAGCCGCGGUAAUACGUAGGGUGCAAGCGUUAAUCGGAAUUACUGGGCGUAAAGCGUGCGCAGGCGGUUAUGCAAGACAGAGGUG